GUUGUGGCUCAGUGGUACUGUGCUUGUCUAGCAUGUGCAAGAACCUGGGUUCAAACCUCAGCACGACA
Molecule: transfer RNA, 68 nt
Filed under: Marmota monax (woodchuck)
Lineage: Eukaryota; Metazoa; Chordata; Mammalia; Rodentia; Sciuridae
Description: tRNA.Ala
Source: RNAcentral